RNAcentral lists this ribosomal RNA (157 nucleotides) under Arthonia sardoa. RNAcentral describes it as "5.8S ribosomal RNA". It matches the Rfam family "5.8S ribosomal RNA". From Rfam's summary of the family: 5.8S ribosomal RNA (5.8S rRNA) is a component of the large subunit of the eukaryotic ribosome. It is transcribed by RNA polymerase I as part of the 45S precursor that also contains 18S and 28S rRNA. The record is from RNAcentral. Lineage: Eukaryota; Fungi; Ascomycota; Arthoniomycetes; Arthoniales; Arthoniaceae.
AAACUUUCAACAACGGAUCUCUUGGUUCUGGCAUCGAUGAAGAACGCAGCAAAAUGCGAUAAGUAAUGUGAAUUGCAGAAUUCAGUGAAUCAUCGAAUCUUUGAACGCACAUUGCGCCCCGUGGCACUCCGCGGGGCAUGCCUGUUCGAGCGUCGGU